AUGAGCCCGUUCGACGACCACGCGUUCGACCCCGUGCGCCCUGAGGCCGUCGACGACCUGCGGGCCAUCGCCGACCGGAUGGCGCGUGCGGGGUACGCACGCGAGCUAGCCGAUGCCUACUGCAACAUCCGGCGCGACCUGCUCGACGAAUACCUCUCCGUGCUGGGCGUCGAGCGCCUCAGCAUCGACGAGGUGCAGCGCGUGGAGUGGAAGCAGCUCAACGACAAGAUGAAGAAGUGGGUGCAAGGGGUUAAGACGGUUGUGCGUGUGCUGCUUGCUGGUGAGCGUCGCCUCUGUGACCAGGUGCUCGCUGUGUCCGACGAGCUCAGGGAGGAGUGCUUCGUCGAGUCCACCAAAGGAUGCAUUAUGCAGAUUCUAAAUUUUGGGGACGCCGUGGCUGUGUGCCCCCGCUCGCCCGAGAAGCUCUCACGGAUUCUUGAUAUGUAUGAGGCACUUGCCGAGGUAGUCCCUGAAAUGAAGGAUUUGUGCCUCGGAAGUUCCGGUGAUGGUGUAAUCAGUGAUGUUCAAGCAAUUCUUGAUAGGCUCGGCGAAGCCGUGAGGGGUACCCUUUUUGAGUUUGGGAAAGUUCUGCAGCAAGAGUCAUCGCGGAGGGCGAUGACGGCUGGUGAGAUCCACCCAAUGACACGGUAUGUCAUGAACUAUUUGAGGCUGUUGGUCGUUUAUAGUGAGACACUUGAUGGCCUCUUGGAUGAUGAUGGCGAUGAGAGCAAUGCUUUGGAAAGACCUGAGGAUAAGGAUCAGGAUACGGAACACUUAGAGAGUAUGGCCCCUCUUGGAAGGCGUCUUCUGAAGCUGAUGUGUUAUUUGGAGGCCAAUUUGGAGGACAAGUCUAAGCUAUAUGAAGAUGCUGCCCUGGAGUGCAUAUUUUCCAUGAACAAUUUGCUCUACAUUGUUCAGAAGGUGAAGGAUUCUGAGCUUGGGAAGAUUUUAGGUGAUCAUUGGGUAAGAAGGCACAGCGGGAAGAUUCGGCAGUACUCAAAGAGCUACCUAAGGAUUUCUUGGAUGAAGACUUUGUCUUAUCUGAGGGACGAUGUACAUGGGAGUGGGAGUGGGAGCGGCAGUGGUAGUGGCAGUGGACAUUCAGGUUCUAGGAUGUCCAUCAAGGAGAAGUUCAAGAACUUCAACUUGUCCUUUGAGGAAAUUUACAGGAACCAGACACUCUGGAAGGUUCCAGAUCCUCAGCUCCGAGAAGAGCUGAAGAUAUCUAUAUCUGAGAAUGUGAUUCCGGCAUAUCGUGCUUUUUUGGGAAGAUAUGGUAGUCAAGUGGAUGGGGGCAGAAACUCGGGAAAGUAUAUAAAGUACACCCCAGAGGACCUGGAGGGUCAAUUGUCUGAUUUAUUUGAGGGCUCACCAGGGUCUGCCAACCACUCUAGGCGAAGAACAUAG
RNAcentral lists this ribosomal RNA (1407 nucleotides) under Triticum aestivum (bread wheat). RNAcentral describes it as "partial small subunit ribosomal RNA". The record is from RNAcentral. Lineage: Eukaryota; Viridiplantae; Streptophyta; Magnoliopsida; Poales; Poaceae.